Apodemus sylvaticus (European woodmouse) is the source of this 5598-nucleotide long non-coding RNA. RefSeq lists it as uncharacterized. The record is from RefSeq and is a predicted model, not a curated record. The transcript has 2 exons. NCBI's taxonomy places the organism in Eukaryota, Metazoa, Chordata, Mammalia, Rodentia, Muridae.
UGGAAGCAGUAUGGCUGAACCACUCAGUGACAUCAUGUUUUUCUGAGUGACACCUCCACUGGGUAAUGGUCGCUGAUGGCUUCAGCCUACAGAGGCAGGGAGAUGCAGAGGACAUGGGGUCAGAGUGAGGUCCUCCGUUCCACAGAGGGUGAGUGGGUAGAAAGCCUUCUGCUCCUGGCCUGAACUACUCCACCCACAUCUAGUGUGAAAAUGGUAGUAAUGUCGGGAAUCAGGAAGUCAGCUCCUGCUUGGCAUCAGGCUAAGCUAGACCGCACGAAGGGAGGACACAUACCAGCUGGUUGGAAAGUCUGUACUCUGCUUGGAAAUCAAAGGGAACAGCCGAGCUGGGAACUACAGCAGCCUGCAGCAGAGCUCCAGCAACCACAAUCCUGUAGGACAGCAAAGGACACGGUCCCUCAUCCUCUUUCCCACGGAUCAACCACUGGAAGGUGGGGCUUGUCCGAAGGCGAAUGGAAGACCACUGGGAGGAAGUGACGUAGCUGCAGCCAGCAUUGAAAUCUCCCAUGAACAUGAUGUCCUGCCAGGAGACAUGCCUAUUGGUCCAGGGACAAACAGGGUCAAUAGAACCCCCUGUCCCUGGGAUGGCCUCACCUCCAGGCCCCACUUUUGCCGGACAUCUAGGUAAACAUCGUAGAGGGCAUCAAUCUCUUUCACAGCUUCUGUUGGGGCUGCGUGCAAGGGCACAAUCGCAAACUCUCGUACCUCUGUGGAGAAGCAUUAAUCCUAUUGUCAGUGUCCAGAGACCAGAUUGGAUUGGGGCAGGUCUGAGGAUACACUGGGGCCCUCAUGUGGUGGCUUUAGCUGUGGAGCAGAGAUGAAGAUAUGGGACAGUCUCCCGCAGGAUAGAUACAGUCCUUGUAAUUGAAUAUAAAUUCAGAGCACUGGGAGCUCCUUGGGGGAAGGAAGAGCCCUGUCAUAGGCUUCCAGAGGUCUGGACUUGAGUUGUGAGGGGCUUGGCCUGGGUAGGGCUGGAUGUGAAACACAGCAGCACUCACCAGUGUAUGGGGAGAAGAACUUGACAAUGACGGGCUCUCUGCUGAAGGUGUCAUUUCCACAGGGCUCACAGCCAUCAUCAUAAUGAUAGCUGUCCAGAACAGACACCUGGUUGGGCCUAAAGAGAGACCAGGCAAGUGGUGACCCUAGGCCUGUGAGAGGAUGACGCCCACCCAGCCAGAACUCUGUCCUGGAGCCCUGAGAUACACACUGCUACCCCUACUCUGUAAGGGCCUCCCAAGUGAAAGGGUCACCUGGGCUCUCCAAACCACUCAGCCUCUGUGGCACAGGUUUGGGGUCUGUACACCCCUGUGCUUGUAUUCUCGGGCUUUGACAGCAUAGGGCUUUACCUGUACACAAAGAGGUACUGUUCCUUGUAGCUCUUGCGGCCCAGAGGCUCACUGACUACAAAGCGAUAGGUGUCAGGUGUGUCCCUGAAUGAAGGAAGCCAAAGGUACUUUUUACCACAGAGGGAACCUCCUGGCACCCGAUAGCAAGGCUCCAACAGUGGAACACACAGGGAGAGAGACUAUAAAUGGUUGUCAUUACUCUAGGACUCUAGAAUUGUCACCCACCGAUUGAGUUCAUCCAGUAGCUUUCCAACAGCAACCAGGUGUGUGUCUCUGACCUCUUGGACAACAGCGAUGUCAUAGCGAUUCAGGAUCUGGGGUAGGACCACAACAGCUGAGCAGGACAAGCCGGGCGGGCAGGGCUGGGCAGCAGCUCGGGACCUCAGAGCUACAGCUGCUGCCUUUCCUUACGGUACACCCUCCCUGCAGCCUACCCUCCUGUCAGAUACCUGCAGCCCCAGACAGUGUGGACAGUGAUCUGGGCUGACAACCCUGAAAUCCACCCAGGUAUGGUGAGGCCUCAGGUUCACCGUGGUCCCUACGUCCCCUGACAGCAUGUCUGCCCUCAGGCUUCAACCACCAUGAACUUACUUUCACGAUGUAGCUAGAGAGGGUGUCAUUGGACAUCUUAGUCUCCCCAAAAGUCCGGAUGUUGAAGGCUGCAAUUCUCAGAGUCCCGGCCAGCUGCAGCAGGUUGGCCAGGGUGAGCAUUGUUCCCAUCAGCCCUGUGCGCCUCAUCCUGUGAGAUUAGAUGGUCAGGACAAAGAAGCAGUGACCCUGCCAUCCCCAUCAAAGACUCUGAAGCCCAGCUUGUGCUGAACCAGCGCGAGCCCUAUACUCACGUGAAAGCCAGUCUGAGAUGGUGCAGCAGCGGAAUGGACCUGCUCUGUGGGUGUGGUGAGCCGAGUCUGCUCUGGAGCUGUGGAUGGACAAGGCAAGUUCACUCAAGUCCUGACACCAAGAUGUCUGUAGAGACAACAAGAAUUCUGCCAAAACCUGCAGUAUCCUGAUACUAAUUUCUCCUUUUGCUUUUAAAGAAAAAUUCUUUUUACAAAAUGUAUAAAGGGAAAAAACCAAAAAGUAGCGUGGAAUUGCAGACCUGCUAGCUCUCCGGGUCGCUGCCCAGGCAAUGCCAGCCUGCCGUACUCUGCCAGUUUUAAAGGUUCAGGCAGUUAUGACCUCCCCAGGGCACAUGUGUCCCCUUCACCUGAGAGCACAGAACAAUAGAGCUGCCUGUGUGGCUAUCUCACUGGGGCCUGGGCAGGCUGAUGGCACGUGCUGACAGCAACAGACACGGUGCCUCUUGCUGUAAAAACAAAGUCUGAUACCAUGUUUAUGCAUGGUUAUAAAACCUUGUGUCCUUUGCCCAUCAUGCCCUCACUACCAGGGAUGGAUAAUAGGAAUUGGAGGCAGGGCUGGCUGCAUUACUCUUGUCUCUGGUCUAGGGGUGUUGAUGUCACCUUGAGACCAGAAGCUAAAUUCCAGACACUGACAUGUUCAACAUGGACUCUCAAGACAGCUGCUCUGCUCUGUGGCUAAGGACCCCUCACCUCCAAUGUCACUGAGAUGCUAGAGGCUCUGGGUAGGAAGUACUGGGUGAUGGAAAUUCUUCCUGGGGGAGCAAGAAGCUCAAGGGAUCCUCAGGUUCCUGCUUCACUGGACAGAGUAACCCAGGGCUAGGUCUUGCCAUUUUUUUAAAAUCCUUGAUAGUUCCUUUGUGUUUAUCCCCAAGGGCUCUUUAACAAGCUACUGCAAUCUAUGAAAGCUCUGUAACCAGAGGUUCACAGCCCAGGUGUCUGCAGGGCCAUAUGCGCCCCACUGUAGGGUCUUGGAUCAGCUCUCCUUUAUCUAAUGACGGGGCUACGUUGUGUUCCUCUGGGACACGGCCAGGAUAAAGUCCUGUCUCGCCUUGGUCCUGGCCUUGGUCCUCUCCCCUAAACUGCACAUGGAGGCCAGAUGCACGUGUCUUCUAUCACUCUCCAUCUUAAUUUUUGAGACAGGGUUUCUCACCGAAUCUAGAGCUCAACUGACUGGCCACCAAGCUCCCAGAGUAUUCUCCCUGUGUCUGCGUCCUAGUGCUGGCCUUACAAGCACACACCGUCGUACCGAUCCUACCUGAGCUGCAGAUCUGACUCCAGCCCUUAUGCUUCUGGUGAACACUUCACCAACUGAGCCAUCUUCCCAAUUCCCACAAAGGUCUCUUUUGCCAAGUAUUAGGGUGUGGACAUCUUUUAGGGUACCAGUUAUCCCUCCAUCAGAAGCUCUAUGCUGAGGGGUUUCGGCUCUCCAAGGACAAUAUGAAUAUGUUCUAGGGACUGAACCUUCCUGAUGAAGGAAGAGCUUGUAUGCCCAGAGAGAAUUGGAAGUAGCACAUUGGAAUGGGCAGCUACAGGAGGUUGGAUCUAUCCAGAAGCAGGACAGCCUAGAGGUCAGGAGUCGGAAAGAAGCCAAGGUCAGCAAAGUACCUGCCAGCUGCCAAGGCACCUGGUGUGCAGGACUAGAAAGAAUUAAUACACCAUACAAAGGUAACUACACCUCCGGGAAGCUGGUGUCACAGUGGCACUGGUGCACAUCUCCUAUGUCUCACAUGCACAAAUCAGAGAUCCAAUCGCCACCUGCCUCUCCAUCUGCCAGAAACCCCAUCUUCAUCUUCUGAUCCCCCUGCCUCCACCUUGCACAUCUGAAAUUCUGUGCAGUUUACAGGUGUGUGCUGGUUACAAGGUGCUUGGCGGCAAACUCCACUCCAGCCCUAUCUGAGUCUUUUCAAAACUCUACGUGCCAUGUUUCUGCUCUCCACCUGAGGCUGGGGUAGAUGUGAGUGUUGGCGCCCAGUUCCCACACACCCAGCAAGGCGGCUGAAGCACCUGCUCAGCACAGCUCAUAUUUUUCUACCUUGGUCACACAUCUGAGAGCUUGAUGGUAAGAAUGCGAGCAGACCAGAGUGCAGAGAAAGAUGGCUGAGACCCCGCAGCUGGACGCAGAAGCAUCAAGACCAUCUGACAGGUAUGGCUUUUGGCAUGGGGCCCCACUCUGUUUCUCAGCAUCGGGUAACUAAGGAAGCAAGCCUGUUGCCCACUCCCUGCUUCUGGAAGCUCCUAGGUACCCCUACUUUUCUUCCGGCCAACAGAAAGGUUAGGGUUAAGGCUUCUGCAGCAGCUGGGUCCUGAGCACCAAUUGUACGUGGUGGCCCCCUCAACUGGGCUCCCCAAAAGCCACUCAUCUAGGGCACAUUCACUCCGGGUAAAGGAUUCUCAGCCUGCUCUGUGGUUGGAGGGUCAGUAGACACAGGAUUAGUCUAAGUAGGAUUUACUCCUAGAAGGGAAGCAGCCUCUGGAUGUUACACUGCCGCACCUCUCUCCUGGGUUCUUUUCCUUGUGUCCACUACUGCUGUGCACUCAGUGGCCUCAGAGCUCAGUGUGCCCAGCAAUAGUCAUUUACACCUGUAUACUGGCCUGUGGGGGUGGGGUGUCCUUGUCCCUGAACUGGACUAGGACAAAAAGAGGGAAGUGGAAACCCCACUAGAUAACAGAUGUGAUGCUCUCACAUCUGAAUGUGGUCUCUGCUGUGCUGAACAAACAUCAACAGUGGAACCAGAAGCAAACCUUCCAUACUAGGGCCUGCUCCAGAGGUGCAGGAAUGGGCACCCCGGAAAGGUCGAUGCAGCUGCGUGCUUCUGGAGUUUCCAAUCACACCAAGGAAGCAUGUGCUCACAGCCAAUGGCCACUUUUCCGGAUUAGGUGAGCUUUCUAAAGGUCAGCUCUGAUGAUUUACAAUGUUCUCUUUAAAUCACUCUUGUCACAGAGACCAAAUCGGGAAGCAACAAAUAGCACUGGAUUACUGAAGUGUAAGCCAAGUCAAAGGAUGCGGAAAGAAAUCCUCUUAAGUACUGAGACCAAACAAGUGAUCAGGCAGGUCACAGCGGGGCAGGCCAAGGUGGGGCGGGCGUGGCCGUUGCUUCACCCCCCCCCACACACACACACAGAAGGAACACAAAGAAACGCAACAAGUGGUGAAGUUGGCAUGUCUGCACAUCAGACACGAUGUGACGACUGCGUUCUCUCUUCCUAUAGUUUCCGUAUGCAUCCGUGUGACCUGUGCUGUGGCAGCUACUGAGAAAGCAUUACUGUGAAAUCUGAUGUAGACCAAGGCAAGGAUGGCAGUUUCAAUGUCUCUUGCUAGUGGACGUAUCCCAGGAAUAAUUAUGGUUAAAAAUAAAGUUUCUCUUUAGAUUUUA